GAUGAACGCUAGCUACAGGCUUAACACAUGCAAGUCGAGGGGAAACGAUAUUGGAAGCUUGCUUCCGAUAGGCGUCGACCGGCGCACGGGUGAGUAACGCGUAUUCAACCAGCCCACCACUUGGGGAUAACCUUGCGAAAGUAAGACUAAUACCCAAUGAUAUCUCUAGAAGACAUCCGAAGGAGCAUAAAGAUUUAUCGGUGAUGGAUGGGGAUGCGUCUGAUUAGUUUGUUGGCGGGGUAACGGCCAACCAAGGCGACGAUCAGUAGGGGGUCUGAGAGCAAGGUCCCCCACAUUGGAACUGAGACGCGGUCCAAACUCCUACGGGAGGCAGCAGUGAGGAAUAUUGGUCAAUGGACGGGAGUCUGAACCAGCCAAGUAGCGUGCAGGAUGACGGCCCUAUGGGUUGUAAACUGCUUUUAUAAGGGAAUAAAGUGAGCCUCGUGAGGCUUUUUGCAUGUACCUUAUGAAUAAGGACCGGCUAAUUCCGUGCCAGCCGCCGCUGUAA
RNAcentral lists this ribosomal RNA (508 nucleotides) under uncultured bacterium. Its description in RNAcentral is "partial 16S ribosomal RNA". It matches the Rfam family "Bacterial small subunit ribosomal RNA", at positions 28 to 523 of the family's 1533-position model. The record is from RNAcentral.